This 480-nucleotide long non-coding RNA is filed under the name Nicotiana benthamiana. Its description in RNAcentral is "long non-coding RNA (NBEN_LNC032191)". Lineage: Eukaryota; Viridiplantae; Streptophyta; Magnoliopsida; Solanales; Solanaceae. The record is from RNAcentral.
AAAGGCAAACUAAUAGCUUGAUUACUAGAAUAGUCAGGCUUACAAGAAUUAGAAGAAGAAGAAGAAGAGCAUACAGAAACAGAAGAACAACAAUUAGAAGAAGAUGAAGGUGGCACCCAAACAAGCUUGUACAGACCAGCCUCCUCUUUACCAAGAUCUAGAGGCAUCAAGAAUUAGAAGAAGAAGAGCAUACAGAAACAGAAGAACAACAAUUAGAAGAAGAUGAAGGUGGCACCCAAACAAGCUUGUACAGACCAGCCUCCUCUUUACCAAGAUCCAGAGGCAUUCUCAGAGAAGGGGCCUGUAACAAGUGAAGUAAACAGGAAGUUGCAGUGAACAAUACUAUGCAAUGCAACUGUUUCACUAACUUGUAGACAGAAAUCAAGUUAUGUUUGAAAGAAGGAACAAGUAGGACAUCAUGAAGAGUGGUGAAUGGAUUUAAUGCAAAAGAUCUUGUGCAUGUCACUUUCACUUUAUAUC